AACGAACGCUGGCGGCGUGCCUCAUACAUGCAAGUCGAGCGAGAAAGCCCGCUUCGGUGGGUGAGUAAAGCGGCGAACGGGUGAGUAACACGUGAGCAAUCUGCCCUUCGGUGGGGGAUAAGCCUUCGAAAGGGGGUCUAAUACCGCAUAAUACUCCUGGAUGGCAUCAUCCGGGAAUCAAAGGUGGCCUCUGCUUGCAAGCCAUCGCCGAGGGAUGAGCUCGCGCUCCAUUAGCCUGUUGGUGGAGUAACGGCCCACCAAAGCUACGAUGGAUAGCCGGCCUGAGAGGGUGAACGGCCACACUGGGACUGAGAUACGGCCCAGACUCCUACGGGAGGCAGCAGUAGGGAAUCUUGCGCAAUGGACGAAAGUCUGACGCAGCAACGCCGCGUGUGGGAUGAAGCUCCUUGGAGUGUAAACCACUGUCAGGAGGGACGAAUGAUUUUGGCCUUAAUACGGCCUUGAUUUGACGGUACCUCCAGAGGAAGCUCCGGCCAACUCCGUGCCAGCAGCCGCGGUAAUACGGGGGGAGCAAGCGUUGUUCGGAAUCACUGGGCGUAAAGGGUGCGUAGGCGGGAGAUUAGGUCGGAUGUGAAAACCUCGGGCUCAACCCGGGGCCUGCAUUCGAAACCAGUCUUCUUGAGUAUCGGAGAGGGAAGCGGAACUCCAGGUGUAGCGGUGAAAUGCGUAGAUAUCUGGAGGAACACCGGUGGCGAAGGCGGCUUCCUGGCCGAAUACUGACGCUCAGGCACGAAGGCUAGGGGAGCAAACAGGAUUAGAUACCCUGGUAGUCCUAGCGGUAAACGAUGGGCACUAGGUAUCGGGGGUAUCGACCCCCCCGGUGCCGCAGCUAACGCAUUAAGUGCCCCCGCCUGGGGAGUACGACCGCCAAGGUUG
This 897-nucleotide ribosomal RNA is filed under the name uncultured bacterium. RNAcentral's name for it is "bacterial SSU rRNA". It matches the Rfam family "Bacterial small subunit ribosomal RNA", at positions 28 to 896 of the family's 1533-position model. The record is from RNAcentral.